This 120-nucleotide ribosomal RNA is filed under the name Carlito syrichta (Philippine tarsier). The record is from RNAcentral. Lineage: Eukaryota; Metazoa; Chordata; Mammalia; Primates; Tarsiidae.
UCUACAGCCCUAUACCACCCUCAACAUACCCGAUUACAUCUCAUCUCAGAAGCUAAGCAGGGUUGGACCUGGUUGGUACUUGGAUAAAAGACAAUAUUUCAAUCCAUUUUGUUUUUAGAU